GCAGUGUAAUGGCCCUGAAUGUCCUC
Molecule: non-coding RNA, 26 nt
Filed under: Homo sapiens (human)
Lineage: Eukaryota; Metazoa; Chordata; Mammalia; Primates; Hominidae
Source: RNAcentral